GCUACUUUUUAAAAUUGUUAGCACCUUGAUAGAAUAGCAUGAUAUUGAGACACGGUUUGCUUAAAGUCAAUACUCAAUAGUCAAUUUGCACUCUUGAACACUGUAGUGCUUACAAACCAGGGACCGCGGAGACGGGGGGGCUGGGGGGGCUUUAGCCCCCCCACUUUUUUUGACAGCCAAAAUUAUUAAAAUAGAAAUCUAAAUGAAACUUUCUAAAUUAAUUAAACCUUUUCUAGGCAUUCUUAACUUUCGCA
Molecule: non-coding RNA, 254 nt
Organism: Paramuricea clavata
Lineage: Eukaryota; Metazoa; Cnidaria; Anthozoa; Malacalcyonacea; Plexauridae
Source: the annotation of a GenBank genome assembly